RNAcentral lists this ribosomal RNA (253 nucleotides) under uncultured bacterium. RNAcentral describes it as "partial 16S ribosomal RNA". It matches the Rfam family "Bacterial small subunit ribosomal RNA", at positions 524 to 776 of the family's 1533-position model. The record is from RNAcentral.
UACGGAGGGUGCGAGCGUUGUCCGGAAUCACUGGGCGUAAAGGGCGCGUAGGUGGCCUGAUGAGUCAACGGUGAAAGCUCGUCGCUUAACGACGAGUCGGCCGUCGAUACUGUCGGGCUGGAGCACUGUAGAGGCAGAUGGAAUUCCGGGUGUAGCGGUGGAAUGCGUAGAGAUCCGGAAGAACACCGGUGGCGAAGGCGGCGUUCUGGACUGUCUCUGACACUGAAGAACGAAAGCCAGGGGAGCAAACGGG